GAUGAACGCUGGCGGCGUGCCUAAUACAUGCAAGUCGAACGGACGGACGAUAAGCUUUCUUCUCUGCUGUUAGCGGCGGACGGGUGAGUAACACGUGGAUCACCUACCUCUAAUACUUGGGUAACUUCGGGAAACCGGAGCUACUACCAGCUAAUAUUUUCAACCGCAUGGUUCAAAAGUGCUAGACGGUCUUGCUGUCUCUUAUAGAUGAAUCCGCGCUGCAUUAGCUAGUUGGUAAGGUAACGGCUUACCAAGGCAACGAUGCAUAGCCGACCUGAGAGGGUGAUCGGCCACACUGGAACUGAGACACGGUCCAGACUCCUACGGGAGGCAGCAGUAGGGAAUAUUCCGCAAUGGGCGAAAGCCUGACGGAGCAACGCCGCGUGAGUGAUGAAGGUCUUCGGAUCGUAAAACUCUGUUAUUAGGGAAGAACAUAUGUGUAAGUAACUGUGCACAUCUUGACGGUACCUAAUCAGAAAGCCACGGCUAACUACGUG
RNAcentral lists this ribosomal RNA (497 nucleotides) under uncultured bacterium. Its description in RNAcentral is "partial 16S ribosomal RNA". It matches the Rfam family "Bacterial small subunit ribosomal RNA", at positions 28 to 507 of the family's 1533-position model. The record is from RNAcentral.